RNAcentral lists this ribosomal RNA (254 nucleotides) under uncultured bacterium. Its description in RNAcentral is "partial 16S ribosomal RNA". It matches the Rfam family "Bacterial small subunit ribosomal RNA", at positions 524 to 776 of the family's 1533-position model. The record is from RNAcentral.
UACGUAGGGGGCAAGCGUUGUCCGGAUUUAUUGGGCGUAAAGAGCGUGUAGGCGGCCAGGUAGGUCAGCUGUGAAAACUCGAGGCUCAACCUCGAGACGUCGGUUGAAACCACCUGGCUAGAGUCCGGAAGAGGAGAGUGGAAUUCCUGGUGUAGCGGUGAAAUGCGCAGAUAUCAGGAAGAACACCCGUGGCGAAGGCGGCUCUCUGGGACGGUACUGACGCUGAGACGGCGAAAGCGUGGGGAGCGAACAGG